UGGUGGAGUGAUUUGUCUGGUUAAUUCCGUUAACGAACGAGACCUCGACCUGCUAAAUAGUUGACCAAACCAUCCGGUUUGGAUUGACUUCUUAGAGGGACUUUUGGUGGUUAGCUAAAGGAAGUUCGAGGCAAUAACA
RNAcentral lists this ribosomal RNA (139 nucleotides) under uncultured eukaryote. RNAcentral's name for it is "partial 18S ribosomal RNA". It matches the Rfam family "Eukaryotic small subunit ribosomal RNA", at positions 1299 to 1458 of the family's 1831-position model. The record is from RNAcentral.